GACGAACGCUGGCGGCGUGCCUAAUACAUGCAAGUCGAACGAGAGCGACCGGUGCUUGCACUGGUCAAUCUAGUGGCGAACGGGUGAGUAACACGUGGGCAACCUGCCCAUCAGAGGGGGAUAACAUCCGGAAACGGAUGCUAAAACCGCAUAGGUCUUCGAGCCGCAUGGCUUGAAGAGGAAAAGAGGCGCAAGCUUCUGCUGAUGGAUGGACCCGCGGUGCAUUAGCUAGUUGGUGAGGUAACGGCUCACCAAGGCCGUGAUGCAUAGCCGACCUGAGAGGGUGAUCGGCCACAUUGGGACUGAGACACGGCCCAAACUCCUACGGGAGGCAGCAGUAGGGAAUCUUCCGCAAUGGACGCAAGUCUGACGGAGCAACGCCGCGUGAGUGAAGAAGGUUUUCGGAUCGUAAAACUCUGUUGUUAGAGAAGAACAAGUGCUAGAGUAACUGUUAGCGCCUUGACGGUAUCUAACCAGAAAGCCACGGCUAACUACGUG
RNAcentral lists this ribosomal RNA (498 nucleotides) under uncultured bacterium. Its description in RNAcentral is "partial 16S ribosomal RNA". It matches the Rfam family "Bacterial small subunit ribosomal RNA", at positions 28 to 507 of the family's 1533-position model. The record is from RNAcentral.